UUUGAAUAUGUCUAUUUAGCUAAUAUGCAGACCCUUCAAGUGUCCCUAUUUUCCAAGGACAGUUCCAAAUUUGCAGAAGCCAUCUCAGUUUCUAAUUUGAUCCUGGAAUGUCCUGCUUUUCCUUAGGAUGCCCCUCUUUUUAUUGGAGAAAUGUUGGAAGGGGUGGAGUUAAGCGACCCCCGAGCCAAGGAGGUAAGUAACUAUACAUCCUUUAGAAGACAUCUGAAGGCAGCCCUGUAUAGGGAAGUUUUUUUCAAAAAAUAUUUAAAGUUUUAUUAUGUUUUAUAUAUAUUGGAAGCCACCCAGAGUAGUUGGGGCAACCCAGUCAGAUGAGUGGGUAUUAUUAUUAUUAUUAUUAUUAUUAUUAUUAUUAUUUCACUUGGGAAGACAGGUGAACUAAUGUCAGUGUACUGGAAGUGGCAAAGAUCACUAAUGUCAAAGCAAUGAUGCUUAAACACCAACUUCAUAGGGCUGGUCAUGUGGUUCGGAUACCUUCCAAAGCAACUACUCUAUUCCCAACUUAGGAAUGGAAAGCAAAAUACCGGUGGACAACAAAAGAGGUUUAAAUGUGCUGUCAAGGCUAAUCUAAAGAAAUGCAGUAUAAGUAUGGAAAAUUGGGAAACACUGGCCUCUGAGCGCUUGGUAAAGGCUCCAGCCUUUACCAAAGGUGUCAUCGACUUUGAAGAAGCAGGAACUCAGGAUGAAAGGGAGAAACAAGAGGAAAGCAUGUUUGGCAAAUCCUCACCAUGAUCAACUCCCACCUGGAAACCUUUGUCCCCACUGUGGAAGGAUGUGUGGAGCCAGAAUUGGCCUCUACAGUCACUUACCAACACACUGCUAAGAUCAUAUUGGGAGACAAUCUUACUCAGUUGAAGAAGAAGAAGAAGAAGAAGAAGAAGAAGAAGAAGAAGAAGAAGAAGAAGAUAAUGAUUAAAUAGGAUGUCCCUAUUUUCAUCAGAGAAAUGUAGGAGUAUGUAAUAGUCAUCAAUGGCACAGUUCAGAACCAUGCAAGCCAGACUCCAAACAUACAAGCCUCCAGGCGGAAUGCCUGGAAAAUGUUGUGUGUGUGUGUGUGUGUGUAACAACAAUCUCCCCACAGAACAAUGAUUCUUGGCCAGAUGAGUGGAUGAGCCUGCUCCAGUUUAAAGAAUAUUUGCAGAUCUCCAGCUUACAAUGCUUUCUAUAGAACAUAAAGUGACAUAGUCCUUACGAAGUGCACUGACGGUCUAAUACUGGAUGAGAAAGUGAACAGCAAUCAAAGUGCAGGUAUGGGUUUUUGAUGUGCAUUUUCAGUGUUGCUUAGCCAAAACAAGACUGAUGCAUUUAAAUGUCAGCUUCUUAAAACACAAAACUGGCACUGGAGAAAGAAGAUUUCUGACAAAAUAUAUUGCAAAAUUUAUAAACUUAGUAGCAAAAUCAUAGUGUGAUAUUAUGGAAUGUGUUAAUAUAGGUCCAGUAUUUGGAAAUAGUACUGUGGGGAGGGAAGGGGCAACAAAAUAAAUUAAAGGACAAAGGAAGAGAAAUUGCAGUUCAGGGACUCUAGGUCUUUUCUGUUCCCUAAUUUACAGGGGGAAAGAAAACAAGAAGAAAAGUAUAAAGCAGAACAACCUAUGUGUAAUUCCUGAGAGUCGUUAAAGUACCGUUGAGGAAAAUGUGUAGCAUUACUCUAAGGUGCGUAAAAGGUACUACAGACACAUGAAAGCGAGGUGGGAGCUUUCUGCGGGAAAAUGAGCACACUCCUCACAGUUCUGAAUUACUGUACUUUAGCUAAUAUUGUAAUAGGAAGCUGACAGCUGAGAAAAAGCAGAUCUGGGGAUAAAUUAUCCCAUGCCAAAACAAAAUAUGUUCACACUGAAAUGUGUAUUUUGGAGAGAGAGAAAUCUUUCAACAGAUGCUUCAUUUUGGGCACUCUUUACAUUACAGACCAUAUAUAUUCCCCAGCAACUACUGCAUACAUUGUACAUCACAGCCAAAUCGCACUCAAUAAAACAUCACAUUUUAGCAACUCACCUCGUCAAAGGCUCUUUUUGUCAACAUUCUUCAUCAUGUUUUGUUUCCCCCCUCACAUUUCCACGUUCAUUCGUCCAUCUGCAAGGAAAUCAAGCGUAGCUCUAUCAUGCUGUGUAGCAGGGUUAGGAGAACUUAAUGGGUCUCAAGAGAGUCUCUGGGUUCAUGGAGUCUAGUUACUUUUGAGGAAGCUGAUAGCCCGUAGGGGCAGAAAUAAGUCUUAAAAUCUGACAAAAGGAACAGAUGAGGUGUUGAACGCAUGGCACAAUGGGUUCUUAUUUAUUUAUUUAGCUAGCAUUGCUGCUUUUUUGCAUCAAAAGAGGGAAACACAGACUGGCCUUUGCCCAGAUGACAUGCUCCCAUAAUCUCAGUCCAUUGAAUGACAAGCUACAUGAACAGGCUAAGUAGCUUCAAACUCAUGUAAGGAAACUAAUAGCUGAAAAAAAAUAAACCAGCAACAAACUAUCUAAUGAUAACUUUGGGGGGGGGGCAUGCUUAUAGAAAAAAAAUGGAAGAGUGGCCGACUGGGUAGGCCCAUUCCAUGUACAGUGGUACUUUGGGUUAAGAACUUAAUUCGUUCUGGAGGUCUGUUCUUAACCUGAAACUGUUCUUAACCUGAGGUACUAAUGGGGCCUCCCGCUACCGCUGCUGCGCAAUUUCUGUUCUCGACCUGAAGCAAAGUUCUUAACCUGAGGUACUAUUCCUGGGUUAGCUGAGUCUGUAACCUGAAGUGUCUGUAACCUGAAGUGUCUGUAACCCAAGGUACCACUGUAUUCAACACCUCCGAGAAACAAAGUUCAGGUGAGAACCAACUGUUCCUUCUCUGGAGGUGAUGAACACAUAUCAUGGCAAAUUACACUAAAGCUAUGGAACCUACUGGGUGGGAACAGCUGGCCACUGCUAAAGAACUUGUUGUGAUAUCUGUUACCCAAAUGCGGCCUCUGCUGAGGCAUACUUCUGUCAUGUUGGAUAAAUGCUGAUGGGUUUUCUCACACAGCUGCCGACACACACCUCUUGCAGAGGAGCAUUGGAAGCAAAUGUUGCCACAGACCUAGUAGAACAUGCUGUAACACGUUAAGGAACGAGCAAGUGAAAUUUUCCAGAAGCAAGCUGUGUGCAAUCCCAGAUCCAACUUGCCAAGGAU
Non-coding RNA from Podarcis lilfordi (Lilford's wall lizard), 3151 nucleotides. The record is from the annotation of a GenBank genome assembly. NCBI's taxonomy places the organism in Eukaryota, Metazoa, Chordata, Lepidosauria, Squamata, Lacertidae.